Long non-coding RNA from Oncorhynchus tshawytscha (Chinook salmon), 5966 nucleotides. Lineage: Eukaryota; Metazoa; Chordata; Actinopteri; Salmoniformes; Salmonidae. The record is from Ensembl.
AGGCCUAUAUGAAUUCUACCAUUAAGGCCUAUAUGAAUUCUACCAUUAAGGCCUAUCUGAAUUCUACCUUUGAUAUACAUCUCAUGAGUAGCAGACCCCUUUCCCCCUUUCUUCCUGUGCCAAUGCCAUUCCAAAUGUGUUCCUAUAUACUCCACCAGUCGGACGCUUCAUAAUACCCAUAAAACCUUGCAGUCAAACACAUGAAUUGUUCCAAUCAUUUUCCCACCAAUUAUGUGUCCGGUUUAGGCUUGGCGUUGCGUUUUGAUAACCUUGGAAAUAUCUCUCCUCUGACAACUUGAGUCAUCAAUAUAUUUGCCUUUUAAAUUAAAUUAAAAAUAAAGUGAAAUGCUAAUUAGCAAACGAAGAACACCUCAGAAACACCACGAAUUCCUGCAGGAAGCUCCCGCACGUCACCUCUAGCCGACACGGUCAGCUACUCUUCACCUACUCGAUCAGAGAUCGGCGCCCAAUGCCAUGAUGAACACGUGCUGUAUUGAAAUCAAUUUACUAAAAAGUGUUGAACUUCUUCUGUCCCAUGUCUCGGUCUUAAACUAGCGACCGACAAAACUUUAGCUAGCUAGUUACACAUAUUUUUGGAUGACUCAGCCCUUGAUAACUGUUUGUACAGUAUGUCGACAUUGGUGUCUAUUUCACACACAUGGCUUUUUCCAAGGAUGACCACCAUCAGUCUGGCCACAUGGAGGAGACCAGCAUCAGUCUGGCCAUGUGAAGACCAGCAUUAGUCUGGCUGAGACCACUAUCAGUCUGGCCACGUGAAAACCAGCAUUAGUCUGGCCACGUGGAGAAGACCACUAUCAGUCUGGCGUGAAGACCAGCAUUAGUCUGGAAGGAGACCAGCAUCAGGCUGGCCAUGUGAAGACCAGCAUUAGUCUGGCCACGUGAGAAGACCACUAUCAGGCUGGCCAUGUGGAGAAGUGCAGCUAUAGUGAGGGACCUAGCGGUUUGCUCAGGGCCAGCGUGAGGGAAAAAAGUACACCCUGUGUCGGUGACUGUAGCUAUUACGUUAAGUUUGUGCAUCUUAGCAAUACACUGUGUUCUAUCCAGCUGUCAGCCUUCUCCAAGGAACGAGCCACUUAAUCAUUAACCAGAUUAACCCGGAUACCAAACUUAGAUACGUGAUAACUCAGUUCUAGAAUGUUGUCAUUGAUGAGAAUGAAUCUAAACGCAUAGAAAUUCAGAAUGUACAUAGUUUAGACGUAUUGUAGUUUCAUGACCAGAGACACUUCUUCAACAGGCACAGUAUUUAUUAAUUCAGAGUGGUACAUGCAUUCACUGUCUGGAUUUAUAGAAUCCUUCAGACUAUAUGAUUGAUAUCGUCAAGUGAUAAAAUCCCAAGUUAUCAAUGAAAAAAAAGGUUCAUGGAAUUGUAUAAAAUAUUCUAACGCUGUAAUGUCAUCAAAUCAAAUUUUCAUCAUUUUUUUUUUUUUUUUUUUUACAACAAAAGGCAUUUCAAGGUGCAUUUAACCUCCUUCCUGUUGGCAGGCCUCUAUAGGUGACCACUUCCUGUUGGCAUGUUUCUUGUUUCUAUAGGUGACCAGGGGAUUCUCUCUCCAACAUGUAAAAGCCUCCGUGGAGCUCAUCAGUGUAGCCUGCACAAAAUCGGCCAUACGGGUGUGGAAUGCGAGUGGAGGAAGCCAGCCGUGCCCAACCAGGUGCAGUCAACUGGAGGACCUGUACCCGGCUGAAGACUACAACCCUCUGUCCCUAGAGCCCCCAGAGGAGGAUCUUCAGUGUCUAAGGAACCCUCUCCGGGGCAGGUUCAGUGGAAUGGCAUGUCUCCUUAAACCUGAGCCAGAACAACGGCUACCCUCCCUGUCAUCCCCGUCUGGGGCAUGCAGGCAUCCUGGCUAGCAUGGCGCAGUCGUUGGAGCAGCAGGAGGCUAUACGGCAGUGCACCAACCCCAACUGGCACACAUUGAGGAGAGGGAGGUUGACAGACAGCAAUGAUGGAGCAGUGGUUAGGGCCAAGCUCGUUACUCCAUCACUGCUGAAAGGGGUCCUCAGAUCAGUCGUUGGACGGGGUGUUGUCUGUAAAGUGGGGCAGAGAUAAAGAGGAGGGAAUCAAGGCAUUCAAAAUGGGGGGUUUGAAGGAGUUAGGGCUUUGAGUCACAUGGUCCUGGAUCCUGGGUGCCUCGUGGACGGUCUGGAAGUCAAGUGUCCCUAUGGUGCCAGGGACCUUAUCAUUGAAGAGGCAGUGAAGUCAAAUGAUUUUUUUUUUACAUCAAGGAUGGGAGGUUCUUACCACCUCCAUGAAGACCAUUCUUACUGGCACCAGGUCCAAGGUCAGAUCCACAUUACCGGAAGGGGACACCAAAGCCUCCAUCCCCAACCAGCGUGACGACCUCUGACAGACUCAUAUCGCUCCUCCUGUCAGUACCUGUUUUCAGGGAAGCCACUGCUCCAAAAAUAUUCCACAUAGUGUACACACACACACACACUAGGCUGCCAAAAUAAGUUAUAUAACACACAACUGUAGCUCAAAGCAGCUAACUAAAGUAAUGUAGUUAACAUAAGUACGAUCACAAAGGAACAGUCUCAUUCAGUAGUACAACAGUUCACGUUGCAUUUUAUCAUGGAUACAGCGGGAAUUUAUAUCUGUGAUGUUUAAAUUACGUCUUACCCCCAGAGUGUGAGAGAGAGAGAGCGAGUACAUCACUUCCAGUGCCUAUCGGAGUAGUAGUUACAGUCCGGUACAUAGCACAGAACCAUCCUUGCUUCUGCUUGAUGGAGAGACCUAAGGUUAGCUAGUUGGCUACAAGAGCCAGGGUAAAUUCAAUUCUAGUAAUACCAAAAAAAUGCUAAGGUAGCUAGCUAGGUAAGUUAAAAAUUUAGAAAAACAAGAAUACACACGAGAAAUAUACAAUAUCAAUUAUAUACACAAGAAACUAAAAAAAGGCUAUGAUAUCUACUUGCUAGGUUAGUCGCUAUUGUCGAUGAGAGUUUGCAUGGAGAAAUGUGGAGGUUUCAACCCCACCCUGCAACUUGAGUGAUUACCUCAAAGCUUGUGACAGGAUGUGUAGUUCUGUAUGAGAGCCACAUUGGCGGCUAAUUAGCAUAGACUUUUUGGGGUGGCAAUUACAUACAGACAAAAAUAUUGAUUUAAAAAAAUAAAUAAAAACUUGUCCAAAAGAGAGAUUUAUACGGUUCUCAAAACCUCACCUUUUAUGACAUAGUUCUAAAAUCCCCAACGGAAAAAGUGAAUGGUGGAAAAACGAUUGGAACCAUUUCUGGGUUUUACCGCUAGGUUUUGUGGGUAUUAUGACUCAUACUGGGGUACUCAAUAGGCAAGACCUACUGGUCAAGUAACCAGGUUAUUAGCUUGCUGGGUAAUAUGACUGAACACCGUUGUUUGUUAUCAAACCAAUAAUUAGCAGCCCGGGAUUAAUUUAAAAUUGACUACAAUUUGGAUUAUAAAAUUCAUGAAAAUGUGUGCUAAUUCACAAGAGAUAUAUAUAUUUAUAUCUAAUUAUUUUUUUCCUCUUAAAGGGUUGAUCAGCUUUACAUUGCUUCCUUCAAUGUAAUUGUCUGCAUCAUUCCCAGUGACCCCCAGCCAUAUAUUUUUGGUGUAAAUACACUUUAAAAAAAAAAGAAAAUACCUUUAUUAUUCCCUGCAAACCCUACCACCCCUCCCCCAAUUGGAGUAAACUAAUAAACAAUAACACUUAGGCUUCUACCUUCAGUUUAUACAUCCUAUACACAUUUAACAGAAUCUAUUUUACAAUAGUUAUAUUGUGUUUGUUUUUAGUCCUUCCUCUAUUUCUGAUGUCCAUCCAGUUUGAUUUCUAUUUGUAACUAUGCUAUUUUCACAACAUUUCUGAACCUGUAUACAUUUUAUUUAUUUUUACCCCGUAUGUUUUUAAUUUGUUAGUCAGGUUUGUAGGCCUCCUUGCUCGCACGUGCUUUUUCAGUUCUGCCCACACAUUUUCUAUAGGAUUGAGGUCAGGGAUUUGUGAUAGCCACUUCCAAUACCUUGACUUGGUUGCCCUUAAGCCAUUUUGCCACAACUUUGUAAGCAUGCUUGGGGUCAUUGUCCAUUUGGCAGACCCAUUUGCGACCAAGCUUUAACUUCCUGACUGAUGAUGUCUUGAGCUGUUGCUUCAGUAUAUCCACAUAAUUUCCCUGCCUCAUGAAGCUUAUAAGUGAAAUAGUCUGUCUGUAAACAAUUUUUGGAAAAAUUACUUGUGUCACGCACGAAGUAGAUGUCCUAACCGACUUGCCAAAACUAUAGUUUGUUAACAAGAAAUUUGUGGAGUGGUUGAAAAAAAUGUAUGUAAACUUCCAACUUCAACUGUAUGUAAAUGUGACGUUUCAGUUUGGUUCGAAUAAAUUAGUAACAAUUUCUAAAAACCUGUGUGUUUGCUUUGUCAUUAUAGGGUAUUGUGUGUAGAUUGAUGAGAAAGAAAAUAAAAUACAUUUUUAGAAUAAGGCUGUAACGUAACAAAAUGUGGAAGAGGUCAAGGCAUCUGAAUACACUGUAAUGUGUAUUAUUUAACAUUACUAUAAAAAUUAAAAAACAUUGUACACACUUACAGUAAUGGAUAAUUGUUGCUAGCUAUCCCAUAAAGCCAUCACAGAAAAGCUAAUUGUUAUCUUCUUCUGUAGUUUGGCAACUUCCUGUUCUUCGACCGACUCCGGCUGGGGUAUGCGGUUGUAUGACGUAUAAUGUAUCACGUAUGAAGUCGUAUGAUGACGUAUGAUGUAUCACGUAUGAAGUCGUAUGAUGACGUAUGAUGUAUCACGUAUAAUGUAUCACGUAUGAUGUAUCACGUAUGAUGUAUGAUGUCGUAUGAUGACGUAUGAUGUAUCACGUAUGAUGUAUCACGUAUGACGUAUGAUGUAUCACGUAUGAUGUAUCACGUAUGAUGUAUCACGUAUGACGUAUCACGUAUGACGUAUCACGUAUGAUGUAUGACGUAUGAUGUAUCACGUAUCACGUAUGACGUAUGAUGUAUCACGUAUGACGUAUCACGUAUGAUGUAUGACGUAUGAUGUAUCACGUAUGAUGUAUGAUGUUGUAUGAUAACGUAUGAUGUAUCACGUAUGAUGUAUGAUGUUGUAUGAUGACGUAUGAUGUAUGACGUAUGAUGUAUGAUGUUGUAUGAUGACGUAUGAUGUAUGCCGUAUAAUGUAUCACGUAUGAUGUAUGACGUAUAAUGUAUCACGUAUGAUGUAUGCUGUAUAAUGUAUCACGUAUGAUGUAUGACGUAUAAUGUAUCACGUAUGAUGUAUCACGUAUGAUGUAUGACGUAUAAUGUAUGACGUAUAAUGUAUCACGUAUGAUGUAUGACGUAUGAUGUAUCACGUAUGAUGUAUCACGUAUGACGUAUGACGUAUGAUCAACGGCAAAGUGGAUAAAACGAGAAUAAAUCACCUCUUACUUUAGCAGCCUUGAAAAAAGGUGGUGUCAGGAAAGGAAUGCUAUUAAUUAUUUGUAUGUUCAAUGGGAUUGAAAAAAAAAAAACAGAACCAAAGUUGAUUGCUACAGACAUUUUUUUUCAUCCUACUUCCCUAAUAAGGGCAAUUACUUUUUUGAGAAAACUCAAAAAGGCAUAUUCCUACAAUAGACAAGGAUUGAAUGAGUUUUGCGAGGCAGAGCUUAAAAUAGAGGAAUUGGCUACAGCUGCAAAGGAACCAGCCUUAAAUAAAUUGCCUGGCUGUGACGACCUAACAUCCAAUUUUCUUUUGGAAUGAACUAAGAUCUACCUUCAUUGAAUGUACUGAGAGUAAUAUUUUCAUGGCCACUUUUGAAAACAAGGUAUAUUACUACCUAUACCGGGAAAUUGAUAGUAUUUGUUCAUUUUCUUAAACCUUUGUGCUUAGUUAUGUACUUUGUGCUUAGUUAUACAAUUAUAACAUUUACAAGAAAAAUGUUUAAAAAAAGAAGAUGACAUCUGAACUCUGAUAUUCUAUUUGUAGGAUGCAUUCAGUCAUUCAGGAUGCAUUCA